UACGUAGGGUGCAAGCGUUGUCCGGAAUUAUUGGGCGUAAAGAGCUCGUAGGCGGUUCGUCGCGUCGGCUGUGAAAACCCGGAGCUCAACUCCGGGCCUGCAGUCGAUACGGGCGGACUGGAGUGUUGCAGGGGAGACUGGAAUUCCUGGUGUAGCGGUGAAAUGCGCAGAUAUCAGGAGGAACACCGAUGGCGAAGGCAGCUCGCUGGGACGGUACUGACGCUGAGGCGCGAAAGCGUGGGGAGCAAACAGG
Molecule: ribosomal RNA, 253 nt
Filed under: uncultured bacterium
Lineage: Bacteria
Description: partial 16S ribosomal RNA
Rfam family: Bacterial small subunit ribosomal RNA
Source: RNAcentral